CAUGGGGGGGUCAAAAAUGCAGUCGUACGGGGCUUCGGUAGUUAGUGGCGGACGGGUGAGUAACACGUGGGAACGUGCCUUUAGGUUCGAAUAGCUCCUGGAAACGGGUGGUAAUGCCGAAUGUGCCCUUCGGGGGAAAGAUUUAUCGCCUUUAGAGCGGCCCGCGUCUGAUUAGCUAGUUGGUGAGGUAACGGCUCACCAAGGCGACGAUCAGUAGCUGGUCGAGAGGAUGACCAGCCACACUGGGACUGAGACACGGCCCAGACUCUACGGAGGCAGCAGUGGGGAAUCUUGCGCAAUGGGCGAAAGCCUACGCAGCCAUGCCGCGUGAAUGAUGAAGGUCUUAGGAUUGUAAAAUCUUUCACCGGGGACGAUAAUGACGGUACCCGGAGAAGAAGCCCCGCUAACUUCGUGCCAGCAGCCGCGGUAAUACGAAGGGGGCUAGCGUGCUCGGAAUUACUGGGCGUAAAGGGCGCGUAGGCGGAUCGUUAAGCAGAGGUGAAAUCCCAGGGCUCAACCCUGGAACUGCCUUUGAUACUGGCGAUCUUGAGUAUGAGAGAGGUAUGUGGAACUCCGAGUGUAGAGGUGAAAUUCGUAGAUAUUCGGAAGAACACCAGUGGCGAAGGCGACAUACUGGCUCAUUACUGACGCUGAGGCGCGAAAGCGUGGGGAGCAAACAGGAUUAGAUACCCUGGUAGUCCACGCCGUAAACGAUGAUUGCUAGUUGUCGGGCUGCAUGCAGUUCGGUGACGCAGCUAACGCAUUAAGCAAUCCGCCUGGGGAGUACGGUCGCAAGAUUAAAACUCACAUGAAUUUGACGGGGGCCCGCACAAGCGGUGGAGCAUGGUGGUUUAGUUCGUAGCAACGCGCAGCAUCGUUACUACUGUUUGACAUGCCUGGGACCGUCCGAACGGGCAGGAAGCGCCGUGGUCCAU
RNAcentral lists this ribosomal RNA (935 nucleotides) under Brevundimonas diminuta. RNAcentral's name for it is "bacterial SSU rRNA". It matches the Rfam family "Bacterial small subunit ribosomal RNA", at positions 43 to 1030 of the family's 1533-position model. The record is from RNAcentral. Lineage: Bacteria; Pseudomonadati; Pseudomonadota; Alphaproteobacteria; Caulobacterales; Caulobacteraceae.